Molecule: ribosomal RNA, 509 nt
Filed under: Cephaloon pallens
Lineage: Eukaryota; Metazoa; Arthropoda; Insecta; Coleoptera; Cephaloidae
Description: partial 16S ribosomal RNA
Source: RNAcentral
CAUGUCUUUUAGAUAAUAAUUUAAAGUCUGGCCUGCCCAAUGAUUAAUUUAAUGGCCGCAGUAUUUUGACUGUGCAAAGGUAGCAUAAUCAUUAGUUUUUUAAUUGAAAGCUAGUAUGAAGGGUUUGAUAAAGAAAAAAUUGUCUCAUUAUUAAUAAUUUAAAAUUUUAUUUUUAAGUUAAAAAGCUUAAAUGUAUUAAAAAGACGAGAAGACCCUAUAGAGUUUAAUAUAAUAUUUAAUUUAAUUUAUUUAGUUUAAUUAUUUUAUAAAUAUAAAUUUGUAUUUAAUUGGGGUGAUUUAAAAAUUUAAAAAACUUUUUAAUAAUUUAACAUAAAUGUAUGAUUAAUUGAUCUUAAAUUUUGGAUUAUAAGAAAAAAUUACCUUAGGGAUAACAGCGUAAUAUUUUUUGAAAGUUCUUAUUGAAAAAAUAGAUUGCGACCUCGAUGUUGGAUUAAAAUUAAUUUUUGGUGUAGAAGCUAAAAUAUUGGGUCUGUUCGACCUUUGAAAUU